RNAcentral lists this ribosomal RNA (253 nucleotides) under uncultured bacterium. RNAcentral's name for it is "partial 16S ribosomal RNA". It matches the Rfam family "Bacterial small subunit ribosomal RNA", at positions 524 to 776 of the family's 1533-position model. The record is from RNAcentral.
UACAGAGGUCCCAAGCGUUGUUCGGAUUUACUGGGCGUAAAGGGUGCGUAGGCGGUCGGGUAAGUCUGGUGUGAAAGCUCAGAGCCUAACUCUGAAACGGCACUGGAUACUAUCCGGCUAGAGGUUGGGAAGGGAGACUGGAAUUCUCGGUGUAGCAGUGAAAUGCGUAGAUAUCGAGAGGAACACCAGUGGCGAAGGCGAGUCUCUGGACCAAUCCUGACGCUGAGGCACGAAAGCCAGGGGAGCAAACGGG